UCACUGCCUAUGAGUCCCAUAAUAGGACGAAACGGCCGUCCAGUGU
Molecule: non-coding RNA, 46 nt
Organism: Schistosoma mansoni
Lineage: Eukaryota; Metazoa; Platyhelminthes; Trematoda; Strigeidida; Schistosomatidae
Source: Rfam